RNAcentral lists this ribosomal RNA (878 nucleotides) under Morchella sextelata. RNAcentral describes it as "partial large subunit ribosomal RNA". It matches the Rfam family "Eukaryotic large subunit ribosomal RNA", at positions 71 to 963 of the family's 3401-position model. Lineage: Eukaryota; Fungi; Ascomycota; Pezizomycetes; Pezizales; Morchellaceae. The record is from RNAcentral.
GGGAUUGCCUCAGUAACGGCGAGUGAAGCGGCAAAAGCUCAAAUUUUAAAGCUGGCAUCUUCGGUGUCCGCGUUGUAAUUUUGUGAGGCAUCUCCGGGUAGGGCGCCGGCCUAAGUUCCUUGGAACAGGACGUCACAGAGGGUGAGAAUCCCGUGCUUGGCUGGCUGUCCCCGUCCAUGUGAGGUGUCUUCGACGAGUCGAGUUGUUUGGGAAUGCAGCUCAAAAUGGGUGGUAAAUUUCAUCUAAAGCUAAAUAUUGGUGGGAGACCGAUAGCGCACAAGUAGAGUGAUCGAAAGAUGAAAAGCACUUUGAAAAUAGAGUUAAAAAGUACGUGAAAUUGUUGAAAGGGAAGCGCUUGAGACCAGACUUCGGUAGGGGGUGAUCAGCCGUGCUUCGGUGCGGUGCACUUGUUCCUCUCUGGGCCAGCAUCGGUUGAGGCGGCGGGAUAAAGGUCCCGGGAAUGUGGCUCCUUCACGGGAGUGUUAUAGCCCGGGUGAAUGCCGCCAGCUUCGACCGAGGACCGCGCCCGCAAGGGUUAGGAUGCUUGGCAUAAUGGUCUUCAGCGACCCGUCUUGAAACACGGACCAAGGAGUCUAACAUCUAUGCGAGUGUUUGGGUGUCAAACCCUUGCGCGAAAUAAAAGUGAACGGAGGUGGGAACCCGCAAGGGCGCACCAUCGACCGGUCCUGAAGUCUUCUGAAGGAUCUGAGUAGGAGCAUAGCUGUUGGGACCCGAAAGAUGGUGAACUAUGCCUGAAUAGGGUGAAGCCAGAGGAAACUCUGGUGGAGGCUCGCAGCGGUUCUGACGUGCAAAUCGAUCGUCAAAUUUGGGUAUAGGGGCGAAAGACUAAUCGAACCAUCUAGAACUGGUUCCUGCAG